GACGAACGCUGGCGGCGUGCUUAACACAUGCAAGUCGAACGGAAAGGCCCUGCUUUUGUGGGGUGCUCGAGUGGCGAACGGGUGAGUAACACGUGAGUAACCUGCCCUUGACUUUGGGAUAACUUCAGGAAACUGGGGCUAAUACCGGAUAGGAGCUCCUGCUGCAUGGUGGGGGUUGGAAAGUUUCGGCGGUUGGGGAUGGACUCGCGGCUUAUCAGCUUGUUGGUGGGGUAGUGGCUUACCAAGGCUUUGACGGGUAGCCGGCCUGAGAGGGUGGCCGGCCACAAUGGGACUGCGAGACGGCCCAGACGCCUACGGGAGGCAGCAGUGGGGAAUAUUGCACAGUGGGCGGAAGCCUGAUACGGCAACGCCGGGUGCGGGAUGACGGCCUUCGGGUUAUAAACCGCUUUCGCCUGUGACGAAGCGUGAGUGACGGUAAUGGGUAAAGAAGCACCGGCUAACUACGUG
This 468-nucleotide ribosomal RNA is filed under the name uncultured bacterium. Its description in RNAcentral is "partial 16S ribosomal RNA". It matches the Rfam family "Bacterial small subunit ribosomal RNA", at positions 28 to 507 of the family's 1533-position model. The record is from RNAcentral.